This 354-nucleotide long non-coding RNA is filed under the name Carica papaya (papaya). RNAcentral describes it as "long non-coding RNA (CPAP_LNC010671)". Lineage: Eukaryota; Viridiplantae; Streptophyta; Magnoliopsida; Brassicales; Caricaceae. The record is from RNAcentral.
UUGGAUGUAAAUUUCCUUCUUGGGCUUGCCUAGUUAGAGAAAAUAACAAGGUUAAAGUACUUGAAAAUUAAGAAAACUUGCCAUCAAGGAAUAAGUACCAAAUGAUUUUAUUAAUUUAUAAAUGGCUUCUCAUUAGGAGGAUUGAAUACAACCUUCUUGUUAAAGCAAUCUAUGGUGGCGUGAUACACCGCUAGCUAAUCCAUCCCUAAAAUUACAUCAAAAUCCCCCGUGUCUAACCCUAUUAGGUCUACACUCAGUUUUCUAUUUGCUAUCUCCACGACACAAGCCCUGUAGACAACUUUCCCUAAUAGUGUUUCACCCCCAGCAGUAGACACAAAUAACAUUAAAUCAAAU